GGUGAGGUUUCCCAGGAACACAUUUCGAGGCUGCACGCGCUUGAUGAUGGCCGCUAGUCCCUCUCAGUCCGAGCCGCUGGCUUCGCAGGAACUCAAUGGCGACUUCAAGAAGCCAGGCCUGCCCUUGCCCCCGGCGGUGCGGGGCAAAGCCCCGGCCACCAAUCCUUCAAACCCUGAGGAGGUAAAGAAGGAAAGGCCCACGGCACUGCCGGACUCCGAUUCCGCGGAGCCUGAAGUCCCGCCAGCCCUGCUGGACGGCGGGGAGACUAGGGGUCCAGCGGAGGAGCAGCCGCGGUCCCCCACAGCGGCUCCUUCUCCUGGCGGCCCGGCCCGGGCUCCCCCUUACCGAGAGCCUCCGUGGGGCGGCCCCGCCACGGACCCCUACAGCCUAGAGACACUGAAGGGCGGCACCAUCCUUGGCACCCGGAGUUUGAAAGGGAUGAGUUGCUGUCUUUUCGGGAGGCUCGCUAGCUGCGACGUGUGCCUGGAGCAUCCUUCGGUGUCUCGCUACCACGCUGUGCUGCAGCACAGGGUGUCCGAUCCCGAGGCAGAAUGCGACGGCCAUGGGCCUGGCUUCUACCUCUACGAUUUGGGAAGCACCCACGGCACUUUUCUUAACAAAACCCGCAUCCCACCCCGCACCUAUUGUCGGGUCCACGUCGGGCAUGUUCUUCGCUUUGGAGGCAGCACCCGGCUCUUUGUUUUUCAGGGACCAGAGGAAGACCGAGAGGCAGAAUCUGAGUUGACAGUAACGCAAUUGAAGGAAUUGCGCAAGCAGCAACAAAUGAUGUUGGAGAAGAAGAUGCUGGGAGAAGACUCAGAUGAAGAAGAGGAAACGGAUACAGCUGAAAGAAAGAGAAAUGCUAGUAGUCAAGAUGAUGAAAUGGGCUGCACCUGGGGAAUGGGAGAAGAUGCUGUAGAGGAUGAGGCUGAAGAGAACCCUAUUGUCUUAGAGUUUCAGCAGGAAAGAGAGGCCUUUUAUAUAAAGGAUCCAAAAAAGGCUCUCCAAGGUUUUUUUGACCGAGAAGGAGAAGAAUUAGAAUAUGAAUUUGAUGAACAGGGUCAUAGCACUUGGCUUUGCAGGGUGAGAUUACCUGUGGAUGAUUCAACUGGAAAACAGCUAGUGGCUGAGGCUAUUCACUCAGGAAAGAAAAAAGAGGCAAUGAUCCAGUGCUCACUGGAAGCUUGUCGAAUCCUUGACACUUUGGGAUUGCUGCGGCAGGAGGCAGUAUCUCGGAAAAGGAAAGCCAAGAACUGGGAAGAUGAAGACUUUUAUGAUAGUGAUGAUGACACGUUUCUUGAUCGGACUGGCCUGGUUGAAAAGAAGCGUCUGAACCGAAUGAAGAAGGCUGGGAAGAUUGAUGAGAAGCCAGAGACCUUCGAAUCAUUGGUUGCAAAGUUAAAUGAUGCUGAAAAGGAACUCUCUGAAAUUUCUGAGAGACUGAAAGCCUCCGGCAAAGCUCUAUCAGAGUCACCAUCUCAGGACUCUUUAGAUGCGUUCAUGUCAGAAAUGAAAUCAGGGAAUGCAUUAGAUGGUGUGUCCCGGAAGAAACUUCACCUGAGAACUUUUGAACUGAGAAAAGAACAGCAGAGACUUAAAGGGUUGAUAAAAAUUGUAAAGCCAGCAGAGAUUCCAGAACUAAAAAAAACUGAAAGUCAGGCUACAGAUGGAGAAAACAAAGCUAAAAAGCUUACACUGCCUCUCUUUGGUGCCAUGAAAGGAGGAAGCAAAUUCAAAUUAAAAACUGGAACAAUAGGGAAGUUACCCCCCAAGCGUCCAGAACUCCCUCCAACUCUAAUGAGAAUGAAGGAUGAGCCUGAAGUAGAAGAGGAGGAGGAGGAGGAGGAGGAGGAAGAGCAAGAGGAGAAAGAAAAGGAGGAGCAUGAAAAGAAGAAAAUGGAGGCAGGAAGCAGUAGGCUGCAGCAGGAGAUAGAGCCAGAAGGAGCAGUGCAGGAAACAGGUCCUCCCACAGAUUUCACAUAUUCUAAAGAAACAAAAAAUCAUGAAAACAUGUCUCAACUCGGCCAAGUGGAACAGAAUAAAGGUUACCAAGAGAUGAGUGAGACAGCUGCAUCGUGUGAGGAACCCUCAGCAUCAAAGAAUGAAUAUGAGAAAAGCAGAGAUGAAUUGAAGAAAAAGAAAGCUCCUGGCCGAGGCAAACUUCCACUGACACUUUCCUCCAACUAUCCAGAAGAUGAUCCAGAUUACUGUGUGUGGGUCCCACCUGAAGGCCAAAGUGGAGAUGGCAGGACCCAUCUUAAUGAUAAGUAUGGCUAUUGAUUGCUUCCGAAUCCUAAAGGAAGACCUUGUGGACCAUGUGACAUGGGAUAUUUAGGAUAAUAUAUCAAGUUGAAUGUCCAGAGAAGGAGUUCAGAUGAUCAUUUGUAAAAUCUGACCAACAGAGAAGAACUUGUUGAUGAUGUAAGAAGUGACAGGAAUUCGGGGGCAGAGUGUCUGUGCCACCUUGGAUCGAAACCACGGACUAAGGUCUGAGCCAGAUCAGUGGUCUUCAAAGAUGAAACUCCUGAUUCAAACAGAAUUGUAUGUGGAACCCUAACACUUGAACAGGUAAAAAAUAUGCCUGCUCUGGUUGAAUUGAGGUGGGGAUGGAUGGGGAUUGGAUGUACACACACAUACCUGCAUGCAUACAAUCCUCUCCUCCUAACUCUACCCUCACAGUGACCUUGAGGAACCCUAGGGACUCCACAGAGCAUCGUCUGCUUUAGGAAGGCAGAUAUCUACGUGUUCUGGGAAGGGUAGGUACAGUCCUUUGUCUUGAGAGCAUGAAAGCAAGUAGGACUCCAUUGGCCAAAAUAAAAUAUAAAUGUGUAACUUGCACAAUUAAUAUCAGCGGUCAGUGGACUUGUUUCAAAAGACCUGCACGUGAGUGUUAGCUUCUCUUUAGUAAAUAGGAGACUUUGGGGACAUGACUUUUCCCUGAGCCUGAAUUCUGUCAUGUGUGAAGCAGGGACAGUAAUGCUUUUUGCUCUUUGGACCUCGGAUUUGUUCUAGGAUCAAAUGAGACCAUGUAGAUGGAUGUGCUUUACAGGGAUUUGUAGAUAUUAGUAGUUGUUAUUCAUUACAAAAAGGAGACAUAUCCUGACAUCUGGGCCGACUUACCUGUGAGAGGAGACUGGAUUAUAUCAGUGAUUCUCCACUGUAGCUGCAUAUUAGAAUUACCUAGGGAAAUUUUUGAAGUUUUUGAUUCCAAUACUUAGAUCCCAUGUCAGAUCAAUUUAAUCAGAAUCUCUGAGUUGAUCCCUUUUAAAAGCACUCCAGGUGAUUUUAAUGUGCAGCCCAUAAUGGACAACCUCUAGAGCAGGGUCAGCAAACCAUUUUUAUUAAUGGCCAGGUAUUUGAGGCUUUGCAAGCCAUAUAAUCUGUCGCAACUACUCAGCUCUGCCAUUGGAGUGCAAAUGGUAUAGGCAGUAUACAAGUGAAUGAGCGUGACUGUGUUCCAAUAAAUAUUUACUUAUAAAAACAGGUGGCAGGGGCUUCCCUGGUGGCACAGUGGUUGAGAAUCCGCCUGCCAAUGCAGGGGACACGGGUUCGAGCCCUGGUCUGGGAGGAUCCCACAUGCCACGGAGCAACUGGGCCCAUGAGCCACAACUACUGAGCCUGCGUGUCUGGAGCCUGUGCUCCGCAACAAGAGAGGCCGUGACAGUGAGAGGCCCACGCACAGCGAUGAAGAGUGGCCCCCGCUUGCCACAACUAGAGAAAGCCCUCGCACAGAAACAAAGACCCAACACAGCCAUAAAUAAAUAAAUAAAUAAAUUUUAAAAACCAAACCAAACCAAACCAAACCAAACAAAACAAAAACAGGUGGCAGGACUUCCCUGGUGGUCCAGUGGCUAAGACUCCAUGCUCCCAAUGCAGGGGGCCCGGGUUCCAUCCCUGGUCAGGGAACUAGAUCCCACAUGCCGCAACUAAAAGUCCCUCACGCCACAACUAAGACCCAGCACAGUCAAAUAAGUAAAUAUUUUAAAAACAAAAACAGGUGGCAGGCCAGGUUUGGCCCACUGUCAGCUCUAGGCUAAUUCAUCUUUGGGGUCUCAUCUGACUCAAGAUGUUCAUUACAGUGUCUUUAGGAUAUUUGAAAAGUUUCUAUUCAGAAGGCUAAUUAGCCCCUCCUGAACUGUAUGGGUUGCAGUUUUUUGGUUACCAGGAAUCAAAGUGAUCUAGUCUCCUUUUCACAGAAACGAAAGCAAGGUUAUUAGUCAUUACAAAAAAUAUUGUUACAGCAAGAAUGCAACAGGUUAUCUAUAAGCAGGGUGUCCCUGGUCUCUCCUGGCCUCCCCAGGAAUUCGGUAUCAUAUCUGCCUCUGUAUUUAAAGAGCAACGGGAAGCCACUGGAAUGUUAGUGAUAGUGAAAUGGUCAGAUUUGGGUCUUUAAAAGAACACUUAAGCUACAGGUUGGAGGAAGGAUGGAAGAGGGCAAGAGGAUGCAGGAAGACCAGUCAGAAGUCUGCUGCAGAGAUCCAGGUGAAAGAUGAUGGCAGCUUGAACUAAGUGGAGAUCGAGAUACAAAGAUAGGGGUCCCUGCAAUAUCUUAACAAGUAGAAUGGUUGAGACUGAGUGAUGGAUUGUCUGGGAGUGAAAGGGGAAGGAGGCUGGAGGGUAAUUCCUAGAUCACUGGCUUAUACAUCUGAAUGGCGGAUGGCGUCAUUUGCUGAGAUGAGGGGACACUGGAGGAGGACCAGGUGGAGGUGGAGGAGAUCGUGAAUUCCAUUUGGACAAGUUGAACUUGAUGUCCCUUUAAGACAUCUAAGUAAAGGUGUCCAGAAAGCAGUUGAAUAUAGAGGUCUGGAUCUCAAGAGAGGGCUAGAGAACAGUUUCAGUCUUCUACCAGAUGAGCCUAAGAUUCAGGUGAUUUUGAAGACCAGGUGGCAGGCACGAAUCUUGCAGGCAGACCCCAGUCUUGGACAACUGGUCUCCAUAUCUUUGGUAUUGGGAACAGUUUUUCUUGGCUAUGGGUACUCAUUUAUUUGGGGAAAAAGUAAAGUAAGUAAGUGGUACAGUGAACAACAUUCUGGAAAGAAAGGUCAGGGGUGUGAGUGUAACUUUAAAACAAAUCUCUUUGUCUGCUUUAGGACAUUUCUAAGGAUUUUGCAUAGUGCCUGGUAUAUGCAAUAAAUGUUUGUUGAGUGCCUGCUAUAAAUAUUUUCCCUGGAAUUGUCCCAAUCUAGCAUAGGAAGUAUGAAGUCCCAUUAUUUCCUUAUAGCCCAUUACAAGCCUUUACCCAUUACUACUUCACUGUAACUGGAUGGAGUUAACUCUUUGGGAAAUAAUGACACAAUUCCUAUCAAACUUUGAAGUAGCCACAGCCUGGGGAUCUGUUGCUUUACCAUUGAAAUGCUGCCACCUCCCGGAUAGGGUGUGACAAGUGACCAGCAGCUGUGGACGGCUUCCUGAGAGUGGGAGCCAGAGGGAAGGAAGCCUGCCAGCCCUGUGGCAAUCAAAAGCAGGAACGCAAACCCCUGGCGCGGCUGAGUUCCCAUACAAGGUUUGGUCCAUCCCUGUUUGGACCAAACCAGGUUUGACAAACUGCUGGGAAAUGACGUAAAGCUCUCCUUGACCUUUGUGGAGGGUGGGUCACGGCAUCAAACUGGUAUCAUGUCUUCUUGUGACAGGCUGCUCUUUGAUCAUGAGAUUCCUCAUUUGAUGUGGGCAUUGAGAACCAUUUUCAAGAUUUCUUCUCAGCAAUCUGAGAGGACUGUGCCCUGCUUUGGUUUUAGAGGUUUGGCACUACGACAGUCCAGGGUGGGACUCAGACCUCUAUUCCACGGGAGACCAGAAGUCUUUCUCCCCCCAAGAGGACCUGGCACUGAUGACAGGUUUGAGGGCUCAGCAUGUGAGGGGACAGUGGUUCCCACUGAAUGUAGCUCCACCUUCUUCAUCCUCCAAAUCGAUCUUUUUUUUUUUUAUUUCAAGUCUUCAUAGAAUUUAUUUGUAACA
Molecule: RNA transcript, 5956 nt
Organism: Balaenoptera ricei (Rice's whale)
Lineage: Eukaryota; Metazoa; Chordata; Mammalia; Artiodactyla; Balaenopteridae
Gene: SLC4A1AP
Gene name: solute carrier family 4 member 1 adaptor protein
Exons: 15
Source: RefSeq, a predicted model, not a curated record